This 344-nucleotide long non-coding RNA is filed under the name Bos taurus (domestic cattle). RNAcentral's name for it is "long non-coding RNA NONBTAT001513". Lineage: Eukaryota; Metazoa; Chordata; Mammalia; Artiodactyla; Bovidae. The record is from RNAcentral.
CUUAAUGAAAUUUCAAAGUGCUCUUUUGCUGUCAAAAUUACCGACCCUUCUUUGUUUCACACAGCGGGUUUCUUUUCUUGCCCUUUUGUCCUCUUAUCCAGCAUGAUAUUCUGAAAACACAGAUAUUGAGUUGAGAAUUGAUGUGUUUCCUCCCUAUGUUAAGCCUUUAAACAUCAGCCAUGGACUCUACUAUGUGACUGUAACUGACUUAGUUGUCUGCUGUGUCUCCUUAAAAAGUUCUGGAAUGCUGUCCUAACCCACUAAGCUAAAAGGAUUUUCAGAUAUUUGCAUGCUCGUAUUAUUGUCAACAGAGCAAUCAUGUGGUAGGAUGUGUCUUGAUUGGA